Bos grunniens (domestic yak) is the source of this 2096-nucleotide long non-coding RNA. The record is from Ensembl. Lineage: Eukaryota; Metazoa; Chordata; Mammalia; Artiodactyla; Bovidae.
AUGAGAAAAAAAGGAGGCGAGGUAAAGUGCAAAGCACCAGGGAGAAGAUCUGCUGCCUGUUUAGAAAUUUCCAUUUUGCCUUCUUACACAAGGAUACCUUGUCCACUUUCUAUUGGGUUGGCCAAAAUGUUGGUUCAGGUUUUUCCAUUACAAUGUUGCAGAAAAACCCAAACGAACUUUUUGGUCAGCCCACAUAGCUCAUGAACCUGGUAGGUCCACGGAACAGGAUCACAUUCUUCAGACCUUUCUAGCAAAAGGAUGAGGGCCUCUUUGUAUUUACAAAGCACUGGAUUCUUACCAAGUUAAAUUAGCCUUAGCUAUUCCACAUAGAACGGUGGGGAAGGCAGCUGCUCUUUGAAGCUGAGUGGCACAUACCAAGUUGUGUGUAUUGUACAGGAGAAAGAAAAGGUGAACAUGUUAGUCGCUUAGUCAUGUCCGACUCUUUGUGACCGCAUGGACUGUAGCCCGCCAGGCUCCUCUGUCCAUGGAAUUCUCCAGGCAAGAAUACUGAAGUGGGUAGCCAUUCCCUUCUCCAGGGAAUCUUCUGACCCAAGGAUCAAACUCGAGUCUCCCACAUCGCAGGCAGAUUCUUUACGCCAUUAUACAGGAGAGAAGGAUUAAAAUCAGCCCUCAGGCAAAAAACAUGUAAGUCAAAAUUACUCUUGAAAAGUCCUCUAGGGUGGCCCCUUGGUGGAGAUCCUAACCAACUCUUAGCAAGGCCCAACUGGGUGGUGUUUCCCCCAUUGUAGGAGCACAGUGGUUGAAUAACAGAUUUUAUUUUUUUUUUUAAUUUCAAACAACUCAGCAUUUUCUUAUUUUUAAUAUUUUCUUAAUGAUUUUCAGAUGACUAUUUCAUCUCUUCAUCUUUCUCUUCAUGUGUAUUGUGAAGCAAGGCAUUAAGAUGUGAUGCCUGCUUUAUUUCCUGUCUAAGCAACCUCCUCACCCCAAAGGCAAACUGUGUUGACAACUGCUUGGCUGCUCUAAAAUCUGUGAGAGUAGAAUGGAUAGGGCCCCAGAGACAGGUCAUUUGUAAAGUGUUUUUGCUGUUUGUAAAAAUAAAACUGUUGUUUUUUUAAAAAAACCACAAACCUGUUUACAAAUAUAUAUUGGUGGAAUAUAUAUAAAUUCAUUUCCUAGUCCCAUUCUAGCCAAUAGCACAUAUGUUCUGAGCCUCUGGGCAAAAUUUCUGCGUGUUUGUCUUUCUGGGCCUGACACCAAGAAACCUACCUAUUUUAUACCUUCCAAUAUGUCCCUUUUCUCCCACUUGGGCCCUCAAUGGCUGGUAAGGUUUCUGCUUGUGUCUCCAACCAGAGAGAAUAUGGUGAGCUCUGGAGGGCUUUUUUCUAGGUCAAGGAUGUUAGACGGGCAGGGCCAAUAAGCUGCCACCACCCACUCUUACACCCACGGCAGACAUCACUAAUUGAUCAUAGCACUCUCUUGCUGAAUGUAGAUAUUGCUUUUGGAUAUUUCAGGAUAUAGUAUCUGGUCUCAAUUGAGCAGAACUGGCAAGUGAAUUAAUCUUGUUUGCCAUCCUUGAUGCAGCAAUUUUAACCUUCUCUGUCAUCCACUGCACUCCCUGCAGGAAGUGGAUUUUUAAAAAUUACAACCAUCUGUCCUUCACAGACAAUGCUUAGCUAUGUUAAACACUGGCCGAUUGUGCUUUUACCAUUGAAUACAUACAUGCUUUAAGGCAUGUGACUCAUCACAGUUUUACAUCCACUUAUGCAGAGUUACACCAUUUAUACCACCAGUCACAGGAUCACGUGUGAAAAAAAAAGAAAGCAUUUGUUGACUUUUUUAUUAACUACUGACCAGCAUAUGCACAAAGCCCUCUUGAAUCAUAUAGUUUAGAAACAAUAAGCAGCAUUUUUCUAUCUGGUGGAGUCAAUAUGAAUCUAUUUUUUUUUCCUGUCCUCUGAAUACAGUCUCCAACCAUUGCUUCCUUUAAAAGUCAGGCUUAUGGUUUCAGAGCAAGAUGAUGUAGAAUCAUUUUUUCCCUCCUUCUCAAUUCUAAAUCUGGCUUCCCUGGUAGCUCAGUUGGUAAAGAAUCCAUCUGCAAUGCAGGAGACCCUGGUUCGAUUCCUGGGUCGGGAAGA